UAGAAUGUGGUGUAAAAGGAAACACAGAGAAAUUUGAGUUCUUUAAUAUGGGUUCGAAUCCUAUUGUUCUAG
Molecule: transfer RNA, 72 nt
Filed under: Wallabia bicolor (swamp wallaby)
Lineage: Eukaryota; Metazoa; Chordata; Mammalia; Diprotodontia; Macropodidae
Description: tRNA-Gln
Rfam family: tRNA
About the family: Transfer RNA (tRNA) molecules are approximately 80 nucleotides in length.
Source: RNAcentral